CGAAGCCCUCGGGCUUAGUGGCGGACGGGUGAGUAACGCGUGAGAAUCUCCCUUCAGGAUGGGGACAACCGUUGGAAACGACGGCUAAUCCCCAAUGUGCCGAGAGGUGAAAGGGUUUCCGCCUGAAGAAGAGCUCGCGUCCGAUUAGUCAGUUGGUGAGGUAAGAGCUCACCAAGGCAGCGAUCGGUAGCUGGUCUGAGAGGAUGAGCAGCCACACUGGGACUGAGACACGGCCCAGACUCCUACGGGAGGCAGCAGUGGGGAAUUUUCCGCAAUGGGCGAAAGCCUGACGGAGCAACGCCGCGUGUGGGAAGAAGGCUCUUGGGCUGUCAACCACUUUUCUCAGGGAAGAAGACCUGACGGUACCUGAGGAAUCAGCCUCGGCUAACUCCGUGCCAUCAGCCGCGGUAAUACGGAAGAGGCAAGCGUUAUCCGGAAUUAUUGGGCGUAAAGCGUCCGCAGGGGCGCAUCAAGUCUGCUGUUAAAGGCUGGAGCUUAACUCCGGUAGAGCAGUGGAAACUGGUGCGCUAGAGGGCGACAGGGGUAGAGGGAAUUCCCAGUGUAACGGUGAAAUGCGUAGAGAUUGGGAAGAACACCGGUGGCGAAAGCGCUCUACUGGGUCGCACCUGACCCUCAGGGACAAAAGCUAAGGUAACGAAAGGGAAU
Molecule: ribosomal RNA, 666 nt
Filed under: uncultured bacterium
Lineage: Bacteria
Description: bacterial SSU rRNA
Rfam family: Bacterial small subunit ribosomal RNA
Source: RNAcentral